GUGAGCUGUCCUUAGUACGAGAGGACCGGGAUGGACGCACCUCUGGUGUUCCGGUUGUCACGCCAGUGGCACUGCCGGGUAGCUAUGUGCGGACGGGAUAACCGCUGAAAGCAUCUAAGCGGGAAGCCCCCCUCAAGAUUAGAUCUCCCUGGGAGCUCGACUCCCCUGAAGGGCCCAAGAAGACUACUUGGUUGAUAGGCUGGGUGUGUAAGGCCAGUAAUGGCUUCAGCUAACCAGUACUAAUUGCCCGUGAGGCUUGACCAU
This 264-nucleotide ribosomal RNA is filed under the name Gammaproteobacteria bacterium. RNAcentral describes it as "partial 23S ribosomal RNA". It matches the Rfam family "Bacterial large subunit ribosomal RNA", at positions 2667 to 2925 of the family's 2925-position model. The record is from RNAcentral. Lineage: Bacteria; Pseudomonadati; Pseudomonadota; Gammaproteobacteria.